RNAcentral lists this ribosomal RNA (253 nucleotides) under uncultured bacterium. RNAcentral's name for it is "partial 16S ribosomal RNA". It matches the Rfam family "Bacterial small subunit ribosomal RNA", at positions 524 to 776 of the family's 1533-position model. The record is from RNAcentral.
UACAGAGGUCCCAAGCGUUGUUCGGAUUCACUGGGCGUAAAGGGUGCGUAGGUGGUGAGGUAAGUCGGAUGUGAAAUCUCCGAGCUCAACUCGGAAAUUGCAUUGGAAACUACCUUGCUAGAGGGUUGGAGGGGGGACUGGAAUACUUGGUGUAGCAGUGAAAUGCGUAGAGAUCAUGAGGAAGACCAGUGGCGAAGGCGGGUCUCUGGACAGUUCCUGACACUGAGGCACGAAGGCCAGGGGAGCAAACGGG